RNAcentral lists this long non-coding RNA (1427 nucleotides) under Lactuca sativa (garden lettuce). RNAcentral describes it as "long non-coding RNA (LSAT_LNC006301)". Lineage: Eukaryota; Viridiplantae; Streptophyta; Magnoliopsida; Asterales; Asteraceae. The record is from RNAcentral.
AUAUAUAUAUAUAUAUAUAUAUAUAUAUAUAUAUAUAUAAUUUAUUUUUAAAACUAUAUUACAGAUUUGUAAACUAUAUUUGAAGAUUAUUUUUGGAAAUCAUAUGUAAGUGCAAAAAUUGUAUUAUUAGUCUAUAAAACUAUACAAAUUAUGAAAUUACAAUAAAUGUUGUCUUUAUAUUUAUUCUUAUAAAUUUACAAAUUGAAGACCUUAAUAAUUAUAAAAGAACAAACGAAAUAAAAAUCGAUAUAUAAAAUAUUUAAAAAGCACACAGUAAACCCGAUGGAUAAAUCUCAUAUGCUCUCCAACUCGAUCACUGAUGGGUCACACAUACCCUAAAUUAGAUAGAUCUCUGUCUAUUUUAGAUUGUUCCUUUUAUUCGUAAUCAAAGAUAUUUUCUUGUCUCUCCUUUAUGGUUGUUCGACUUCUUGUCUGUUCGCAUUUCCUAGACCCAAGACCUACUAAUAUUAUAAUAUUGCAUGGAUAAUGGAUAGCACAAUUCGGAGUAGAAGAUAACCAACAAUGAGUUCCAUUUGGUUGUAAGUCAUAAAAAUCCCUGACUAGGCUACUUAAAUUGUCCGCAUUUACAACGCAAACAACCUGGCGUUAUCACCAUUAGGAAAAACUAUUAAGUCGUAUACGAAAACCCCACAUGCACCUUUCACCCCUCGAAAAAUACCAUUAGAGGUUCUUGGUCUAUCUCCGAAUGUGGGCCUAGAAGCAUUAGCAAGCCAGGCGCCCAACGCCUAGCUCCACUAGGGAGGCCUUGCCUGAUCUGAGAAGUGCUAAUUUGGUUUGUCUUCAUGUGACAGAUAUCGAAAAAGUAGUCCGUUGAACUAUCGUCGAUGCUUAUUCGAAAAUAAUGAAUGCGACACAGUUAUCUACUCCAAGAGUCGCCACAGCUUCGCCUACGCGGAUGAUCUGGGAUAGCAAGCAAGUUUAUUAAAAGAGGAANGAAAGAGGAGCAAUAGAUUCUAGAUCUGUUUCCCCACAGUUGAAAACCAUGAUACAAAUCAGCGGUAGUUCAAAAUNAGCAAUAGAUUCUAGAUCUGUUUCCCCACAGUUGAAAACUAUGAAACAAAUCAGCGGUAGUUCAAAACUGGAAUUGGCACAAGGAAAGCGUUCAUCACAGACAACUUCGUAAUUACAACACGGUAUCUUCUCCUUAGCGUAAAGCACCCCCUUGGGUUCAUCCAAAAUCGAUCUCUAAAAGCGCGGCUCGCGAGGCAUCCCUCUCACAGUAGAGUUUCAAACCUCACCUCGCUCUUGUGACAUGCUAUGUUUCCCCUCAACUCUUCCCAAGGUAGUUCCUAAUGUUUGGCACUUUCCAAUUUAUUGAUUUGGAAGAUCGCGACACCUAUUUUUUUUUUAUUCGGAUCCGAUCUCUGUUGGACUCGUUGAGGAAGAAAUCUAAGAGAAGACACUCU